UACGGAGGAUUCGAGCGUUAUCCGGAUUUAUUGGGUUUAAAGGGAGCGUAGGCGGGUUGUUAAGUCAGUUGUGAAAGUUUGCGGCUCAACCGUAAAAUUGCAGUUGAUACUGGCAUCCUUGAGUACAGUAGAGGUAGGCGGAAUUCGUGGUGUAGCGGUGAAAUGCUUAGAUAUCACGAAGAACUCCGAUUGCGAAGGCAGCCUGCUGGACUGUAACUGACGCUGAUGCUCGAAGGUGUGGGUAUCAAACAGG
This 253-nucleotide ribosomal RNA is filed under the name uncultured bacterium. Its description in RNAcentral is "partial 16S ribosomal RNA". It matches the Rfam family "Bacterial small subunit ribosomal RNA", at positions 524 to 776 of the family's 1533-position model. The record is from RNAcentral.